RNAcentral lists this ribosomal RNA (500 nucleotides) under uncultured bacterium. RNAcentral describes it as "partial 16S ribosomal RNA". It matches the Rfam family "Bacterial small subunit ribosomal RNA", at positions 29 to 523 of the family's 1533-position model. The record is from RNAcentral.
AUUGAACGCUGGCGGCAUGCCUUACACAUGCAAGUCGAACGGCAGCACGGGAGCAAUCCUGGUGGCGAGUGGCGAACGGGUGAGUAAAGUAUCGGAACGUGCCCAGUCGUGGGGGAUAACGUAGCGAAAGCUACGCUAAUACCGCAUACGAUCUAUGGAUGAAAGCGGGGGAUCGCAAGACCUCGCGCGAUAGGAGCGGCCGAUAUCAGAUUAGGUAGUUGGUGGGGUAAAGGCUCACCAAGCCGACGAUCUGUAGCUGGUCUGAGAGGGCGACCAGCCACACGGGGACUGAGGCACGGCCCAGACUCCUACGGGAGGCAGCAGUGGGGAAUUUUGGACAAUGGGUGAAAGCCUGAUCCAGCCAUGCCGCGUGCAGGAUGAAGGCCUUCGGGUUGUAAACUGCUUUUGUACGGAACGAAAAGGUUUGGCCUAAUAAGCUGAGCUCAUGACGGUACCGUAAGAAUAAGCACCGGCUAACUACGUGCCAGCCGCCGCAGUAA